RNAcentral lists this ribosomal RNA (390 nucleotides) under uncultured Xanthobacter sp. RNAcentral's name for it is "bacterial SSU rRNA". It matches the Rfam family "Bacterial small subunit ribosomal RNA", at positions 29 to 448 of the family's 1533-position model. The record is from RNAcentral. Lineage: Bacteria; Pseudomonadati; Pseudomonadota; Alphaproteobacteria; Hyphomicrobiales; Xanthobacteraceae.
AGCGAACGCUGGCGGCAGGCCUAACACAUGCAAGUCGAGCGCCCAGCAAUGGGAGCGGCAGACGGGUGAGUAACGCGUGGGGAUCUACCCAUUGGUACGGAAUAACCCAGGGAAACUUGGACUAAUACCGUAUAAGCCCUUCGGGGGAAAGAUUUAUCGCCAAUGGAUGAACCCGCGUCUGAUUAGCUAGUUGGUGAGGUAAAGGCUCACCAAGGCGACGAUCAGUAGCUGGUCUGAGAGGAUGAUCAGCCACACUGGGACUGAGACACGGCCCAGACUCCUACGGGAGGCAGCAGUGGGGAAUAUUGGACAAUGGGCGCAAGCCUGAUCCAGCCAUGCCGCGUGAGUGAUGAAGGCCUUAGGGUUGUAAAGCUCUUUCGCCGGUGAAGA